Molecule: ribosomal RNA, 699 nt
Filed under: Triticum aestivum (bread wheat)
Lineage: Eukaryota; Viridiplantae; Streptophyta; Magnoliopsida; Poales; Poaceae
Description: partial small subunit ribosomal RNA
Source: RNAcentral
AUGGCCGGCGGCGAUUCUUCUCCCGUGGCGGCUGCGGCUGCGGCGACGAAGUGGGAGUGGGACCAAGAAGAGUAUCGGUGCGAGCCGGCGGAGUAUUCCGUGGACCCGCGAUACAGCGAGUACGACCCCAAGCAGGGCUGUUUCAUAUGCGUCCGCUACUUCUUCGACGGCAAACUCGACCUGGACGAGGAGUCACCUGUUGGUCCCAUGCGACAUACUGGUAAAAUCUUCAAAGAGGGAUUCCGGCUCAAAAACUCAGUCAAUGUUGUCUCCAUCAAGAUUGUUUCCUCUGACUAUGGCUACCCACUGUAUGUCUACGGUACCAUCAUAGCCAGGGACAGUCUGGAUCGAAAAUGUGUCUAUAUAUUCCGGCGCGACCAGGAUGAUUGCCAGCUCAUCAGCUCAAAGGAUGAUUCAUUGAUUUUGACUGGACCCAAGAGAGGAUUCAUGGUAUGCGAUGAUAUAUUCUUUGAAAUCAAUCUGAAGGUGAAGGAUGUGCAUGGGAGGAGUGUCAAUGACGAUAGACUCAGUAAAGGACUGAUCGAGGUGGAUGCUAUCCGCAGGCUGGAAUUUAGUCCCGAAUAUGUGGUUGAGACGGAAACACUUGUCAGCAUGCACAGCAUAUUGGAUUUGAACUAUACAUUCAUUAGGAGGUCGGUGGAGGGCACUGUUGAUAUCAAGAUCCUUGGAGGGACCUGA